Molecule: ribosomal RNA, 482 nt
Filed under: uncultured bacterium
Lineage: Bacteria
Description: bacterial SSU rRNA
Rfam family: Bacterial small subunit ribosomal RNA
Source: RNAcentral
UUGAACGCUGGCGGCAUGCUUUACACAUGCAAGUCGAACGGCAGCGGGGGCUUCGGCCUGCCGGCGAGUGGCGAACGGGUGAGUAACAUAUCGGAACAUAUCCUAUCGUGGGGGAUAACUAGUCGAAAGACUAGCUAAUACCGCAUACGUCCUGAGGGAGAAAGCGGGGGCUCGCAAGACCUCGCGCGAUUGGAGUGGCCGAUAUCUGAUUAGCUAGAUGGUGGGGUAAAGGCUCACCAUGGCGACGAUCAGUAGCUGGUCUGAGAGGAUGAUCAGCCACACUGGGACUGAGACACGGCCCAGACUCCUACGGGAGGCAGCAGUGGGGAAUUUUGGACAAUGGGCGCAAGCCUGAUCCAGCCAUUCCGCGUGAGUGAAGAAGGCCUUCGGGUUGUAAAGCUCUUUCGGCAGGAACGAAACGGUGGGAUCUAAUACAUACCACUAAUGACGGUACCUGAAGAAGAAGCACCGGCUAACUACGU